RNAcentral lists this ribosomal RNA (400 nucleotides) under uncultured bacterium. RNAcentral describes it as "bacterial SSU rRNA". It matches the Rfam family "Bacterial small subunit ribosomal RNA", at positions 355 to 747 of the family's 1533-position model. The record is from RNAcentral.
UGGGGAAUUUUGGACAAUGGGCGAAAGCCUGAUCCAGCAAUGCCGCGUGUGCGAAGAAGGCCUUAGGGUUGUAAAGCACUUUUGUCAGAGAAAAAAAGACGAUUGUUAAUACCAAUUGUUAAUGAUGGUAUCUGAAGAAUAAGCACCGGCUAACUACGUGCCAGCAGCCGCGGUAAUACGUAGGGUGCGAGCGUUAAUCGGAAUUAUUGGGCGUAAAGCGUGCGCAGGCGGUUGUAUAAGAUAGAUGUGAAAUCCUUGGGCUUAACCUGAGAACUGCAUUUAUGACUGUACAGCUAGAGUGUGUCAGAGGGGGGUAGAAUUCCACGUGUAGCAGUGAAAUGCGUAGAGAUGUGGAGGAAUACCGAUGGCGAAGGCAGCCCCCUGGGAUAACACUGACGCU